Molecule: ribosomal RNA, 546 nt
Filed under: uncultured bacterium
Lineage: Bacteria
Description: bacterial SSU rRNA
Rfam family: Bacterial small subunit ribosomal RNA
Source: RNAcentral
GGGGAAUAUUGCACAAUGGGGGGAACCCUGAUGCAGCCAUGCCGCGUGAAUGAAGAAGGCCUUCGGGUUGUAAAGUUCUUUCGGUGACGAGGAAGGUUGGUAGGUUAAUAGCCUAUCAAAUUGACGUUAAUCACAGAAGAAGCACCGGCUAACUCCGUGCCAGCAGCCGCGGUAAUACGGGGGGUGCGAGCGUUAAUCGGAAUAACUGGGCGUAAAGGGCACGCAGGCGGUUAUUUAAGUGAGGUGUGAAAGCCCCGGGCUUAACCUGGGAAUUGCAUUUCAGACUGGGUAACUAGAGUACUUUAGGGAGGGGUAGAAUUCCACGUGUAGCGGUGAAAUGCGUAGAGAUGUGGGGGAAUACCGAAGGCGAAGGCAGCCCCUUGGGAAUGUACUGACGCUCAUGUGCGAAAGCGUGGGGAGCAAACAGGAUUAGAUACCCUGGUAGUCCACGCUGUAAACGCUGUCGAUUUGGGGAUUGGGCUUAAAGCUUGGUGCCCGUAGCUAACGUGAUAAAUCGACCGCCUGGGGAGUACGGCCGCAAGGUUA